GCAGACGGUACAGAGUCAUGUGAUGUUGUUAGCAGGGGUUGAAUCUGAGAGGUUCUGCCGCGUUUCUUGUGCGUGCUAAGGCUAAGUGCUCUCUCCAGAGAAAGGACUAGUCCAAUUUCACUGCUCAAGAAAUCAUCCAAGGACCUAGAAUGUCUUACGGAUCCAUUGAUGCUGGCUCUAUUGGAAGCAGAAAUCCAUUUGGUGGGCCUUCAAGGCAGGGCUACCAGCCUGUAGCUACGCAGGUUAGCCCUUCAGAGCUGCAAGACGUGUUCCAGGAAACCUCCUCUAAUAUCUUUCAAAUCAAUGCAAAUGUGGUAACACUAGAGAAAAGCCUUCAAUCAUUGGGCACAUCCAGAGACACAGCAGAGCUACGACAGGGUUUACAUUCCACACAGCAGCAAACCAAUAAAGUCAUAACAAGCACAAGCCAACUCGUUAAACAACUCACUGACAUCAUCAGCGGAUCUUCACGGCAAGACAGGCUCCGUCUGACGAGGCUCAAAACAGAGCUGUCGGAUUCCGUGCAGCGAUAUGGAGACCUGCAGACGAAAAUUGCAGAUCGUUCGAGGGCCUUGCUUCCUCCGGCACAAAAGGACAGGAAACAGAGUGCACCGACACCUUUCAGUGAGCUGGUUGAGGAGGGAGCAUUGUUUGGAGUUGGAGAGAGCAUGGAGGGUGAUAGCCAAGCAUUCCUGUCAGAAAUCAGUGAAGAAGAUGUGGAGAUCCUGAGGCAGAGAGAAGAAGCACUUCUGCAGAUUGAGAGAGACAUUCUGGACGUUAAUCAGAUUAUGAAGGACUUGGCCAGCAUGGUGCAUGAACAAGGAGACACCAUAGACAGUAUUGAAGACUACAUUCAGACCACCUCAUCAAAUGUGGAAUCAGCCAAUCAGGAGCUCGCAAAAGCCAGUCAAUAUCAGAGACAGCUAAGGAAGAGGAAGUGUUAUCUUCUUAUUGCUGGAGUGUUGCUUCUGACUUUGCUUAUCAUCAUCAUUGCAGUCUCAGCCAGAAAAUAAGAGCAACUACACAGGAAGGAAUCUAGCUGUUUGCACAUAGCCGAAAAAUCGUUCUCAUUUCAUAGAAAGAACCUCUUCAUGUAAUCUGUCUUAUCUGCCAUUGGAGAACCCCAAGACGCUGGCUUUGACAGGCUGGAUGCUCUGGGCCCUCCUCUAUGGAUUCUCACACCACGAAUGAACAGGGGAUACAUUUUGAUUGUAUUAUGGUGGACCCACACCAACAAAUGCCAAGCAGACAAAUGCCAGACACCUCUUGUGGAGCUGUAAGGAAAGCCCAGACCUCCACAUUAAAAGGUGAGUUCUUAUCGGCAGAAUAUUUUGGCUCAUCUUGCCCAUCCUAAGAUGUAAACUGAGGUGGCAAUAAAAAUUCCUCAGGGCCUCCAGAUGCAGCACCUUAUUUAACUGACCAUGUGGCAGCAGUUGCUGAAACAAAGAAAAGACAUACAGAAGGACAAAUUCAUCCAUAUAUUCGCUUGAAAUCCUUGAAAUGGACAAGUACUGCAACACAUGCACUUCAUGUUCACGCACAGAACUGUUUGUGUCAAUUGUAGUUGUAUGCUAACAUUGUAAUUCAACCUAUUAACACAUAAAUGAAUGUAUGGGUGAUUUUACAAUUAUUUCUUAUCAUGUUUGGUCUCUAAGCAAUCAGAAUAAUAUAUAGACUAGUUUGAAAGAGGUUUGGAAAAUAAAUGAUGCAUAGAUAAAUCUUUAAGGGCACUGAUCUAUCUGUGUACAUUAAAAUAUACUAAUAAGUUCCACACCAGGGUGGGCCAUACUGUGGCAACUUCUGAUAACAACGGCCAAUCGGGUUGCUGGAAUGGGAAGGCAGCAGACUUCAUAUCUCACCAUAUCAGAAAGGGAUAAAUGUAUCCUCUGGAUGGACACACCUUUGCCUUAAGUUUCUAUCCUGACAAUCAAAGAGACAACAGUAUGACUGAGGUUAAGCUCUUGUGAGUAAAACCUGCCUGAUCCUCAGUUCCUUCAGUGUUGCAGCCCAGCCUGCAAAGGAAUCUGUGACAACUUCAUCACCUUACUAGCUGCAAGCCCAGAUUCUAAGGACCCUCGUGGUGCAAAAGAAACUCUCCUGCACCUUGUGGCCACAAAUGUUGGAGCACAAACCUGCACCCGUCCCACUGCAUGCAGUCUGCAAAACCAGUGGAUGAUGUCUCUGCCACCUGGACUGAUCACUGGACUGUAUGGAAUGUAAAUAUAACCUAUCCAAUAUAACCUAACCUUUCUAGAGACCUCGGCAUUAGUUUAUAACUGCAGCUGAUGAUUGUCUUACUUGCUUAGAUAAUGUUUAUCUGAGGUCAGUGCAUAACAAAUAAUAGUCAGAUUAUUUGUUUGAUGAUAAAUAAGCAUCUAGCUAUUAUCGUUUAACAGAGACCAUAAAAUGUUUUUCCCUUAAGAUUUU
This is an RNA transcript of Xyrauchen texanus (razorback sucker), 2427 nucleotides long. It is a transcript of the gene named T-SNARE Domain Containing 1, with no coding region annotated. The record is from RefSeq and is a predicted model, not a curated record. The transcript has 13 exons. Lineage: Eukaryota; Metazoa; Chordata; Actinopteri; Cypriniformes; Catostomidae.